This is an RNA transcript of Mandrillus leucophaeus (drill), 1518 nucleotides long. It is a transcript of the gene named zinc finger protein 639 pseudogene, with no coding region annotated. The transcript has a single exon. The record is from RefSeq and is a predicted model, not a curated record. Lineage: Eukaryota; Metazoa; Chordata; Mammalia; Primates; Cercopithecidae.
ACCAUCUACAGAAACUUAUUGUAAUUCAUUUUUCCUCACUCAGGUAGUAAGAAUUACACCAAAUUGAAAAGAUAUGAAUGAGUAUCCUAAAAAAAGAAAAAGGAAGACUCAACACCCUUCUCGUUAUUCAGAUUCCUUUGGAAUAAGCAGAAUUGCAGAUGGAUUCAAUGGAAUUUUCUCUGAUCAUCGUUACAUGUCUGUUCUUUGAGACAGCCAGAUUUAAAAUAUUUUGACAACAAAGAUGAUGAUUCUGAUACCAAGACAUCAAAUGAAUUGCCAAAAUUUGCAGAUGGAAUCAAGGCCAGAAACAGAAAUCAGAACUACCUGGUUCCCAGUCCUGUACUUAGAAUUCUAGACCACACUGCCUUUUCUACAGAAAAAUCUGCUGGUAUUGAAAUUUGUGAUGAAGAGUGUGACUCACCUGAAUCAGUCAACCAGCAAACCCAAGAGGAGAGUCCUAUAGAAGUUCACAACUACUGAAGAUGUUCCAAUUGCUGUAGAAGUGCAUGCGAUUUCUGAGGAUUAUGAUAUAGAGACAGAAAACAAUUCCUCUGAGAGUCUCCAAGAUCAAACUGAUGAAGAACCACCAGCUAAACUUUGUAAAAUUCUUGACAAGAGCCAAGUUUGAAUGUGACUGCCCAGCAGAAAUGGCCUUUACUGAGAGCUGAUAGCAGUGGCCUCUAUAAAUGUGAACUUUGUGAGUUUAACAGCAAAUAUUUUUCUGACUUAAAGCAGCAUAUGAUCCUGAAGCAUAAAUGUACUGAUUCAAAUGUGUGUCGAGUAUGCAAGGAAAGUUUCUCUACCAAUAUACUUCUGAUAGAACAUGCCAAACUACAUGAAGAGGAUCCCUGCAUUUGUAAAUACUGUGAUUAUAAGACAGUAAUUUUUGAGAACCUCAGCCAGCACAUUGCAGACUCCCAUUUUAGUGAUCACCUCUAUUGGUGUGAACAGUGUGAUGUACAGUUCUCCUCAAGCAGUGAACUCUACGUUUCCAGGAGCACAGCUGUGAUGAACAGUACUUGUGUCAGUUCUGUGAACAUGAAACUGAUGAUCCAGAAGACUUGCAUAGCCAUGUGGUAAAUGAGCAUGCAUGUAAAUUAAUAAAGUUAUAAGUAUAACAAUGGAGAACAUGGACAGUAUAGCCUCUUAAGCAAAAUUACCUUUGACAAAUGUAAAAACUUCUUUGUAUGGCAAGUAUGUGGUUUUCGGAGUAGAUGUCAUACAAAUGUUAACGGGCAUGCUGCUAUUGAACAUACUAAAAUUUUUCUUCAUGUUUGUGAUGACUGUGGGAAAGGCUUUUCAAGUAUGCUAGAAUCUUGCAAGCAUUUAAAUUCACAUUUAUCUGAAGGGAUUUAUUUAUGUCAAUAUUGUGCAUAUUCAACAGGACAAAUUGAAGAUCUUAAAAUUCAUCUAGAUUUCAAGCAUUCAGCUGACUUAUCUCAUAAAUGUAGUGACUGCUUGAUGAGGUUUGGAAAUGAAAGGGAAUUAAGUCACCUUCCAAUCCAUGAGACCACUUGA